GACGAACGCUGGCGGCGUGCCUAAUACAUGCAAGUAGAACGCUGAAGGAGGAGCUUGCUUCUCCGGAUGAGUUGCGAACGGGUGAGUAACGCGUAGGUAACCUGCCUGGUAGCGGGGGAUAACUAUUGGAAACGAUAGCUAAUACCGCAUAAGAGUAGAUGUCGCAUGACAUUUGCUUAAAAGGUGCAACUGCACCACUACCAGAUGGACCUGCGUUGUAUUAGCUAGUUGGUGAGGUAACGGCUCACCAAGGCAACGAUACAUAGCCGACCUGAGAGGGUGAUCGGCCACACUGGGACUGAGACACGGCCCAGACUCCUACGGGAGGCAGCAGUAGGGAAUCUUCGGCAAUGGACGGAAGGCUGACCGAGCAACGCCACGUGAGUGAAGAAGGUUUUCGGAUCGUAAAGCUCUGUUGUAAGAGAAGAACGAGGGUGAGAGUGGAAAGUUCACACUGUGACGGUAUCUUAACAGAAAGGGACGGCUAACUACGUG
Molecule: ribosomal RNA, 495 nt
Filed under: uncultured bacterium
Lineage: Bacteria
Description: partial 16S ribosomal RNA
Rfam family: Bacterial small subunit ribosomal RNA
Source: RNAcentral